UCUUGUAAAAACAACUAUGAGAAUUAUAUUGACAUAGUGAAAUAUGUGUUCAGCGCUUACAAGAGAGAGUCCCCUCUCAUCGUCAACACUAUGGGAUGGGUUUCAGACCAGGGGCUCCUGCUUCUCAUUGAUCUGAUCCGAUUGCUGUCUCCCAGCCACGUGGUUCAGUUCCGCUCUGACCACAGUAAAUAUAUGCCAGACCUUACCCCGCAGUAUGUAGAUGACAUGGAUGGCUUGUACACAAAAAGCAAGACCAAGAUGAGAAAUCGACGUUUCAGACUCGCAGCAUUUGCAGAUGCUUUGGAAUUUGCUGAUGAAGAAAAAGAGAGUCCAGUUGAGUUCACUGGACAUAAACUGAUAGGUGUUUAUACAGACUUUGCAUUCAGAAUAACUCCAAGAAAUAGGUAACUAACCCUCAUUUGGCUGAAGAAUUAUUUUUCCUUCCGUCGAAAAAGACCUGGCAUUCUCAAUUCCUCUAAAGGCCUGAGUCCUCUAAUAUCUUCAGGUCUCUAUCACAGCUGUGCACUUACAAAGACGAACCAGUUGUUUUCUGAACUGUUAUGUUCCCAGUGGAAAUAUCCAGAAGUGUCCCCUACCUCUGGCUGCCAGCAACUUUGACUUAAAGGAGUCUUUACA
RNAcentral lists this small RNA (636 nucleotides) under Pan troglodytes (chimpanzee). RNAcentral's name for it is "retained intron". Lineage: Eukaryota; Metazoa; Chordata; Mammalia; Primates; Hominidae. The record is from RNAcentral.